RNAcentral lists this ribosomal RNA (451 nucleotides) under uncultured bacterium. Its description in RNAcentral is "partial 16S ribosomal RNA". It matches the Rfam family "Bacterial small subunit ribosomal RNA", at positions 29 to 523 of the family's 1533-position model. The record is from RNAcentral.
AGCGAACGCUGGCGGCAGGCUUAACACAUGCAAGUCGAGCGGGCAUAGCAAUAUGUCAGCGGCAGACGGGUGAAUAACGCGUGGGAACGUACCUUUUGGUUCGGAACAACACAGGGAAACUUGUGCUAAUACCGGAUAAGCCCUUACGGGGAAAGAUUUAUCGCCGAAAGAUCGGCCCGCGUCUGAUUAGCUAGUUGGUGAGGUAAUGGCUCACCAAGGCGUCGAUCAGUAGCUGGUCUGAGAGGAUGAUCAGCCACAUUGGGACUGAGACACGGCCCAAGCUCCUACGGGAGGCAGCAGUGGGGAAUAUUGGACAAUGGGCGCAAGCCUGAUCCAGCCAUGCCGCGUGAGUGAUGAAGGCCCUAGGGUUGUAAAGCUCUUUUGUGCGGGAAGAUAAUGACGGUACCGCAAGAAUAAGCCCCGGCUAACUUCGUGCCAGCCGCCGCCGUAA